Molecule: long non-coding RNA, 807 nt
Organism: Salvelinus fontinalis (brook trout)
Lineage: Eukaryota; Metazoa; Chordata; Actinopteri; Salmoniformes; Salmonidae
Exons: 8
Source: RefSeq, a predicted model, not a curated record
GGAAUGUUCACAUUUCUUCCAACGGUCAUAUUUUACACUAGCUAGCUAUUCCACUCUUCAAUCCUGACUCCUAAAAUGGCAUGAAAUUCAAAGCACAAAGACAGAUUUAUGAAGAAAUUACUCAAACUAGAGGCAUCUAAAAGUCAAAGGAAGGAGGAGGGAACGCAAAAGCAAAAAACAAACUCAGACCAAGCGCCCAUACACUCCCCCCAGCGCUCCACAGUCUGCCAGGACUGAAACCAAUCUGGCAAGGAACACAAGAAAGGUUGUUGACGGGACAAAGGAUCUUCUCCUUAUGGAGAAGGUCACAGACAGGGAUAGUAAAGCUAAGGAAGAGGAGGAAGAGGAGAUUAAGGCUCUUAAAAAAGAGGAGAAACAGUUGAAGAUCCGAAACUAUGAACAGACAACCCUGAACAUGUCUCUCCAGAGAGCCUUGCUUCUAAAACUUGAAGCUGUGCCCCAGCCUCCAGCCUCUCGGGUCCCUGCCCAACCACAAGCCCCAAAGUACGACCCCUUUCAUUGAGUUGGAUUGAUGAUAGUACUAUUCUGUUAAGACUGAGCCUAUGAACAACAGUGAGACUAACACAUGCAGCAGCACUGGACAGCCAUGCAGGCGAAGUUAAGACAGGGCCUGUAAACAACAGUGAGACUGACUACAGCAGAAGGCAGCACUGGACAGCCAUGCAGGCGAAGGCAACACCACACACAGUUUCAGCCUGAAUCAUCUUUUAUGCCGUGCUGGUGAAAUGGACAAUCAAACAUGUCAGCUGUUGCUUCAUUGGAUAAUAAAAUGUCCAUGCAAUCAUA